AGGAAUUUUGUUCGGGCAUUCAUAUUCCCAUUGAAUGGUUGUACCCUUUCAAAGCUUCUCUAGAUGGAGUUUCGAUGGAUGACCAGAUAGCGACAUCUCGGGAUGGACCUACAUGGUUAGCACUCCAACGCCUAAGUCAGUUUAGAAUUCAAGAUGAGUGUAAUGAAAAGUAGAGAUAAGAAAGUGUACAUUACACUUCACGUGAUAUGACUUUAUACCUCACGUCAUUUGGAGUAAACUGCCAUUAAUUUGACCUUUAACCGACCCAAAAAAAU
RNAcentral lists this long non-coding RNA (275 nucleotides) under Lathyrus oleraceus (garden pea). RNAcentral's name for it is "Pisum sativum (pea) long non-coding RNA (PSAT_LNC008521)". The record is from RNAcentral. Lineage: Eukaryota; Viridiplantae; Streptophyta; Magnoliopsida; Fabales; Fabaceae.